This 460-nucleotide ribosomal RNA is filed under the name uncultured bacterium. RNAcentral describes it as "bacterial SSU rRNA". It matches the Rfam family "Bacterial small subunit ribosomal RNA", at positions 75 to 510 of the family's 1533-position model. The record is from RNAcentral.
UCCCUUCGGGGAGCGAGUACAGUGGCGAACGGGUGAGUAACGGGUGGAAAACCUGCCCUUCAAUGGGGGAUAACAGUUCUAACGAGCUGCUAAUACCGCAUACGACCUUUGGUCCGCAUGUUCCAAAGGUGAAAGGUGGCCUCUCUUUGAAGCUGCCGUUGAAGGAUGGUUCCGCGUCCCAUUAGCUUGUUGGUGGGGUAAUGGCCUACCAAGGCGACGAUGGGUAGCCGGCCUGGGAGGGUGUCCGGCCACACUGGGACUGAGAUACGGCCCAGACUCCUACGGGAGGCAGCAGUCGAGAAGCUUCGGCAAUGGGCGAAAGCCUGACCGAGCGAUGCCGCGUGAGUGAAGAAGGCCCUAUGGGUUGUAAAGCUCUGUCAGAUUGGGAAGAAAAUCCUACGGUUAAUACCCGUGGGACUUGACCGUACCAUCAGAGGAAGCACCCGCUAACUCCGUGCCA